This 460-nucleotide ribosomal RNA is filed under the name uncultured bacterium. RNAcentral's name for it is "partial 16S ribosomal RNA". It matches the Rfam family "Bacterial small subunit ribosomal RNA", at positions 338 to 795 of the family's 1533-position model. The record is from RNAcentral.
CCUACGGGCGGCAGCAGUGAGGAAUAUUGGUCAAUGGGCGGGAGCCUGAACCAGCCAAGCCGCGUGAGGGAUGACUGCCCUAUGGGUUGUAAACUUCUUUUAUAUGGGAAUAAAAUGUUCCACGUGUGGGAUUUUGUAUGUACCAUAUGAAUAAGGAUCGGCUAACUCCGUGCCAGCAGCCGCGGUAAUACGGAGGAUCCGAGCGUUAUCCGGAUUUAUUGGGUUUAAAGGGAGCGUAGGUGGAUUGUUAAGUCAGUUGUGAAAGUUUGCGGCUCAACCGUAAAAUUGCAGUUGAAACUGGCAGUCUUGAGUACAGUAGAGGUGGGCGGAAUUCGUGGUGUAGCGGUGAAAUGCUUAGAUAUCACGAAGAACUCCGAUUGCGAAGGCAGCUCACUGGACUGCAACUGACACUGAGGCUCGAAAGUGUGGGUAUCAAACAGGAUUAGAUACCCCGGUAGUC